CCAAUAGCGUAUAUUAAAGUUGUUGCAGUUAAAAAGCUCGUAGUUGAAUUUCGGGGUUAGUAGGUUGGUCAUGCCUCUGGUAUGUACUGGUCUCACUGAUUCCUCCUUCCUGAUGAGCCGUAAUGCCAUUAAUUUGGUGUUGCGGGGAAUUUGGACUGUUACUUUGAGAAAAUUAGAGUGUUUAAAGCAAGCUAACGCUUGAAUACAUUAGCAUGGAAUAAUGAAAUAGGACGUUCGAUCCUAUUUUGUUGGUUUCUAGGAUUGACGUAAUGAUUAAUAGGGAUAGUUGGGGGCAUUAGUAUUCAAUUGUCAGAGGUGAAAUUCUUGGAUUUAUUGAAGACUAACUACUGCGAAAGCAUUUGCCAAGGAUGUUUUCAUUAAUCAAGAACGAAAGUUAGGGGAUCGAAGACGAUCAGAUACCGUCGUAGUCUUAACCAUAAACUAUGCCGACUAGGGAUCGGAUGAUGUUAAUUUUUUAAUGACUCAUUCGGCGCCUUACG
This 500-nucleotide ribosomal RNA is filed under the name uncultured Glomeromycotina. RNAcentral describes it as "partial small subunit ribosomal RNA". It matches the Rfam family "Eukaryotic small subunit ribosomal RNA", at positions 591 to 1092 of the family's 1831-position model. The record is from RNAcentral. Lineage: Eukaryota; Fungi; Glomeromycota.